GAUGAACGCUGGCGGCAUGCCUAACACAUGCAAGUCGAACGGCAGCGCGUUUGGGGUAACCCAAAUGGCGGCGAGUGGCGGACGGGUGAGUAAUAUGUAGGAAUCUGCCCAGAGAUAAGGGAUAACUUAGGGAAACUUAAGCUAAUACCAUAUAAACCCGAGAGGGGAAAGCAGGGGACCGUAAGGCCUUGCGUCUUUGGAUGAGCCUACAUCGGAUUAGCUUGUUGGUGAGGUAAAGGCUCACCAAGGCGACGAUCCGUAGCUGGUCUGAGAGGAUGACCAGCCACACUGGGACUGAGACACGGCCCAGACUCCUACGGGAGGCAGCAGUGGGGAAUAUUGGACAAUGGGGGAAACCCUGAUCCAGCAAUGCCGCGUGUGUGAAGAAGGCCUUCGGGUUGUAAAGCACUUUCAGUUGGGAGGAAGGGGUGAGCACUAAUACUGUUCAUCAUUGACGUUACCGACAGAAGAAGCACCGGCUAACUCUGUGCCAGCAGCCGCCGUAA
Molecule: ribosomal RNA, 506 nt
Filed under: uncultured bacterium
Lineage: Bacteria
Description: partial 16S ribosomal RNA
Rfam family: Bacterial small subunit ribosomal RNA
Source: RNAcentral